GCUCAAAUUUGAAAUCCCCCCGGGGAGUUGUAAUUUGAAGAUUGCGUCUUGGAGGCGACCGUGUCUAUGUUCCUUGGAACAGGACGUCACAGAGGGUGAGAAUCCCGUGCGGCACGGCCCCCGGCUCCUUAUAAGGCGCUCUCGACGAGUCGAGUUGUUUGGGAAUGCAGCUCAAAGUGGGUGGUAAAUUCCAUCUAAAGCUAAAUACAGGCGAGAGACCGAUAGCGAACAAGUACAGUGAUGGAAAGAUGAAAAGCACUUUGAAAAGAGAGUGAAACAGCACGUGAAAUUGUUGAAAGGGAAGGGCAUGCCGUCAGAUUGUCAGUGUGGGUAAGAAGCGGGGUACAAAGACUGUGGAACGUGGCCCUCGGGUGUUAUAGCCGCAGUUCAUGCCCCGUCUCUUUCCGAGGCCUGCUUUGAGGACACCGACGUAAUGACGGUACGCCGCCCGUCUUGAAC
RNAcentral lists this ribosomal RNA (459 nucleotides) under Kodamaea ohmeri. Its description in RNAcentral is "eukaryotic LSU rRNA". It matches the Rfam family "Eukaryotic large subunit ribosomal RNA", at positions 107 to 659 of the family's 3401-position model. Lineage: Eukaryota; Fungi; Ascomycota; Pichiomycetes; Serinales; Debaryomycetaceae. The record is from RNAcentral.